AGCCAUGCGGUGAGCACAAGCAAACUAUUCUUUCGCCUUUUACUAAAGCAUAUCGUGUGCUCGCCGCUUAAAGUGGCAUACGCAAAUGAGUGGAGAGGUCCUUAUGUUAUUAAGUGAU
Small nuclear RNA from Rhododendron vialii, 118 nucleotides. RefSeq annotates it as U5 spliceosomal RNA. The transcript has a single exon. Lineage: Eukaryota; Viridiplantae; Streptophyta; Magnoliopsida; Ericales; Ericaceae. The record is from RefSeq and is a predicted model, not a curated record.